UCUUUCACGGAGGAUACUGGCAGAGCGGAAGGCUUUUUCCUGGUGAGUGGGGUCUUUGACCUGGAGCCCAUCGUGUAUACUUCACAGAACGUUGCUCUCCAGCUGACCCUGGAGGACGCUCAGAGGAACAGCCCCCAGCUGAAGGUGGCCCAGGCGCAACCGGCGGACCCCACCUGCCGUGUGCUGGUGGUUGUGGGCCAAUUCGACUCCCCCGAAUUCCACCGACAGUCCUGGGAGUUUUACCAGACCCUGUGUCAAGGAGAGUGGAAAGCCUCGUUUGAAGAGCUCCAUGAUGUGGACCACUUUGAAAUCGUUGAGAAUCUGACCCAGAAGGACAACGUGCUUACCCAGAUUAUCUUGAAAACAAUCUUCCAGUAGUUCUGACGAUACCUGGAGCCUGGUCCACAUGCAUCCCACCUUGGGAAGCCUCUCCAAAGAGCUUUUGGAUCUGAAGCUGACAGCUUCAGUUUCCCCCAGCACCCAGGAGAGCCUU
Molecule: small RNA, 493 nt
Filed under: Pongo abelii (Sumatran orangutan)
Lineage: Eukaryota; Metazoa; Chordata; Mammalia; Primates; Hominidae
Description: processed transcript
Source: RNAcentral